UUUUGAGCAGACAAUGUAAACAAACAAACAAAAUCAAACCAAACACCCUCUCGGUCACCUCACCCUCCCUCCCUCUGAUUUCAGUCCGGCGAACAAGCACAGGGAACCGGUGGCUGCCGGUGGUCCUUUCAGGCGAAGACACCCCCUUCUUGGUUCCCCUGUAACCGAUAACCACCAAUCACAGCCCCCCCCUCUUCGACCUACAUAACGGAGCACCACCACCACCGUCCGGUUGUGGUGCGGCAGUGCGACAGAGAGAUGAGAGAGGGAGCAGCGGACAGAGAGAGGAGAAAGACGACGUGAGAGGAGAGUGAGAAACACGACGUCGCCGGUGGCGUCACCGGCGACUCUAGUGCAGCGGCGGUGGAAUCAAACGACGGCGGUGGAGGUCACGGCGAGGUCCGAGCGGCAGAAUAGGUGGUGGUGAGCGGCGGUUGUGUCUCAGACUGGUGGUCCCUGCCUCGGACCGGUGGAUCUUGCCUCGGACCGUCGGGUUUCGUCGUUAGACUCGGUUCAGCGUGGAUGUGCGGGUGAACCCAGUUCAUGUUCGGGUCAAACCCGGUUGACUCGGUCAACACCCGAGUCAACUCGGGUCAACAGAAGGUCCACCCUGGUCAGCGGUUAACGAUUCGGUACGGGUCAGAAUAUGACACGGUUUGGUUGACUCGGACAAACUGAAUCAACUCGGUUAAACCCAGUCAACUCAGUUUACCCGGUCAACUCAGUCAGCUCACUCGACACUUCGACGUGAAGACUUGGUAAAAAUAAAUGACGCGAAUAUUGUAGAAUGCACGCUAGCGAGUCACGUCUUGGAAACGACAUCAUUAAAGUCUUAUAUAGCUAGCUUUGCACAGGAAUAUUCAGGUUUCCGAUACCUGAAGACUUUGUGGAUACAAGUGAAAGCCAGACUAUGAUCCUGAAGCAGAUGAUGCUGAUGAACUUAAGGAAUACCAGCACAUUGUUAGGGGGAGUCUGUUGAUGCAGAUAGAAAGAGUAAGGCACAGAGACUGGUCAAGAUUGAAGACGUAAAGACUCGACACGAAAGACUCGUCAACAUCUGAGGGGGAGUCUUUUAGUGCAUGCAUCUGUCGACUUCGUCUUGUAUCGAGUUUUGUACUAGAUAGGUUAGAUCAGGGCACGUUGUACGAGAAAAUAUUAGAUUUAAGGUUGAUUUGAAUGUGAUUUCGCUUGAAGAGCUAAUUCCUCUUGAAAUGUAUUUGGUCACUUUAAGCAGAAUCAGCAACUUUCUAAUUUCGCUUGAACUGUUUCUGUCCAUUUCAAGUGGAAUCAAGACCCUAUAAAUACCUUUCAAGCGUAAUCAUUUGUAUCGAUUCUGAUUUUGGAUACCGAGGUUGUGACAUCGGUGCUUGUGAUAUCAUUUUACCAACUCUGAACAAUACAAUAUUAAUAAAACAGUGUGUUUU
RNAcentral lists this long non-coding RNA (1424 nucleotides) under Helianthus annuus (common sunflower). RNAcentral's name for it is "hypothetical non coding rna". The record is from RNAcentral. Lineage: Eukaryota; Viridiplantae; Streptophyta; Magnoliopsida; Asterales; Asteraceae.